CCUACGGGGGGCUGCAGUCGAGAAUCAUUCACAAUGGGGGAAACCCUGAUGGUGCGACGCCGCGUGGGGGAAUGAAGGUCUUCGGAUUGUAAACCCCUGUCAUGUGGGAGCAAAUUAAAAAGAUAGUACCACAAGAGGAAGAGACGGCUAACUCUGUGCCAGCAGCCGCGGUAAUACAGAGGUCUCAAGCGUUGUUCGGAAUCACUGGGCGUAAAGCGUGCGUAGGCUGUUUCGUAAGUCGUGUGUGAAAGGCGCGGGCUCAACCCGCGGACGGCACAUGAUACUGCGAGACUAGAGUAAUGGAGGGGGAGCCGGAAUUCUCGGUGUAGCAGUGAAAUGCGUAGAUAUCGAGAGGAACACUCGUGGCGAAGGCGGGUUCCUAGACAUUAACUGACGCUGAGGCACGAAGGCCAGGGGAGCGAAAGGGAUUAGAUACGCCGGUAGUC
Molecule: ribosomal RNA, 446 nt
Filed under: uncultured bacterium
Lineage: Bacteria
Description: partial 16S ribosomal RNA
Rfam family: Bacterial small subunit ribosomal RNA
Source: RNAcentral